Molecule: ribosomal RNA, 301 nt
Filed under: uncultured bacterium
Lineage: Bacteria
Description: partial 16S ribosomal RNA
Rfam family: Bacterial small subunit ribosomal RNA
Source: RNAcentral
CAGCAGCCGCGGGAAUACAGAGGAUGCAAGCGUUAUCCGGAAUGAUUGGGCGUAAAGCGUCUGUAGGUGGCUUUUCAAGUCCGCCGUCAAAUCCCAGGGCUCAACCCUGGACAGGCGGUGGAAACUACCAAGCUGGAGUACGGCAGGGGCAGAAGGAAUUUCCGGUGGAGCGGUGAAAUGCGUUGAGAUCGGAAAGGACACCAACGGCGAAAGCACUCUGCUGGGCCGACACUGACACUGAGAGACGAAAGCUAGGGGAGCAAAUGGGAUUAGAUACCCAGUAGUCCCUGUCUCUUAUACA